Chlorocebus sabaeus (green monkey) is the source of this 219-nucleotide ribosomal RNA. It matches the Rfam family "Bacterial large subunit ribosomal RNA", at positions 1692 to 2034 of the family's 2925-position model. NCBI's taxonomy places the organism in Eukaryota, Metazoa, Chordata, Mammalia, Primates, Cercopithecidae. The record is from Rfam.
GAUUACAAAAGGUAAAAGGAACUUGGCAAAUCUUAUCCCACCUAUUUACCAAAAACAUCACCUCUAGCAUUGCCAGUAUUAGAGGCACUGCUUGUCCAGUGACAUAUGUUCAAUGACCGCAGUAUCCUGACUGUGCAAAGGUAGCAGAAUCACUUGUUCCCUAAAUAGGGACUUAUAUGAAUGGCCACAUGAGGGUUCAGCUGUCUCUUCCUUUUAAUC